UAAGUCGUAAGCCUUGGUACAACAGGACUCAUCCCCUCAGUUUUCUCAAAAUCAAUUUUGGGACAAAAUCUCAAAUUGAGUUUGCCAAAAUUUCUCAAGUCUGCUCCCUCUUCCCCAAGACUCAAAAGGAGCUAUGUAUGAAAAGUAUGGGAGAUUUAGAAGGAAAAGAUUCUGGCGGCAAGAAUUUUGCUUCCCUCCUCCCAAUUCUAAAAAAUAUAGUUUUCCUUCCUUAGUUAGAAUUCUACAAAAAAACCUAAUAUUUUGCAUUCCACUGUACCUUAAUAGAUACUUGGAGACGAAAAUCGCUGAGGCUUUUGCUGCUGAGAUCCACAAAGCUUGUUUUCUACAAAUUCAAGGAACUAUGGUUUUUUAGCAACUUUGUUGUGAUGGCAAGAAAAAGAGAAAGAAAUUCUAGUCAAGAAAUGCUUCUGCCUGAUUUUUUGGAGCAACAAGAAGAACAAAUGGGCGGUGCGGCGAUGCCUUAACCACCUCAAAACUGGCCACAAAAUGAAGGACAAGCUAUCCGAUCUGGUAAAUCAAGAAAUGAUUCACAUGAAACAGAAAAUUUCCUAGACUCUAGUGCUAAUGAAGAGCAAUCUAAGCGACCUAGGGGUCCUACUAUGAUGCACUCAGGAUGGGAAAAAGAUGGUGUCAUUUUACAUGUUGUGUUGAAUAAUCUUAGUCAAGCUAUUGGACCUGAUGCAGCUAGAUUGAGUUCAAAACUUGGAGUCAUAGCAAGAAAUGGCAUUUUAGCUCCUUUAAAUCAUAAAGAUUGGAGGAAAAUACUGAUGUAACUGAGGAUAUGAGACGUAUGUUGAUGAUAUCGGUUGGAUGUAAAUGGAAAGAAUGGAAGCAUGAAGCAAAAAUGAUUGGUUAUGAGCCAUACAACAACGAUAUCGAGCGCUUAGCUAAAUGUCCAGACAAGGUAGAAGAAGACCAGUGGCGUGCAUUAGUUCAUUAUUGGAGCUCUAAUGAAGCAAAGGAAAAUAGCGAGAGGAACAAAGAAAGUCGAAGGAAGUUGAGUAUGCCACACACAUCAGGAAGAAAAAGUCAUUCUCAAAGUAUCGAUGAUAUGACAAAGAAGAAUGGUGUAAAAUCAAGUCGUAUCGAAGUAUUCAUAGAAACACAUACGAGAAAGAGUAAACAACCAAUUAAUGAGAUAGCUGAUAAAACUAUGAAAGAAAUGGAUGAACUUGCUAAGGUGUAUCCUGAGUUAAAUGUCCCUGGAAGUGCUCCCAAUGAUGUGUAUGCACAGGUUAUGGGACCAGACACUCAUGGAAAUGUUCGAACAUUAGGAAAAUGAGCAGCUCCAAGUUUUGUUUAUGGCCCUGCAUAUAAGCGAUCCCAAGCUGAGCAAAGAGAUUUUGAAAGAAGGGUUGAGAUAGAAGUUGAAAAAGCUACCUCCGCUAUGAGAAUUGCGAUGGAAGAAAAAUUGGCUGAAGCAAAAGAAGAAAUAGAAAAGACAGAGAAAAAGUUAUUUGAAGCAAAAGAAGAAAUAAAAGCACUGGGAGAAAAAUGUUAGAAGCCACAAAGGAUAUAGAUGCAAAAAUAGACGAUAAAGUAAAGCUGAGUAUAAAGGCAUAUCUAGAAUCUUUGGGUAUUACUAUUGGCUCAAAUAGAAAAUUAUGUGGUGAUGAGCAGGUUUCUGAUAACUCAAUGGACGAUCACCAACAAUCACUAUCACCUGUUUCACUCUUUCACACAAAGAUGGUGAGUUCGUAAACUCAUUUAAACUAUAUAUUUUUCUGCAUACUUUGAAGAGUAUAGUUUUAACUAUGUCAAUUUUUGCUUCAGUUACGUAAAGCUUCAAAAUAGCAUUUUAAAGUAUAGAGGCUAUUUUCUAGUAAAAACGAUUAUGAGUAUUUCUAAUUGAGAGUGAAACUUUUUGUGAAGAGUUGAUCAAGAUUCACAAAGUGUACAAUAAUAAAUCAGCAGCUGAGCCAAUGAGCAAUAGUAAUGGUUGAAAUUUAGUUUUUAGUGUUCUACAAACAAUAGUUAGAAUGAUUUUUUUAGCAAUAAGUACUAUUGGGUUGAUUGAAUAUUGAAGUAUAUCGAACUGAUGAAUCACAAUUGAGGAGUCUGUGUGGAGAGUUGCUGAGAAAUAAUCUGUAUUUUUGUCCUAGUUAUUGUAAUCUGGAAUUAAACUGAGUCUUACUAUAUUGUCCAGUCCAAUAUCAAAUUAAAAGAAGAGAUCUUCAUGCUUUAUCAGCCAGUAUUCUUCUUCUUAUCCAAAAAGUAAUUGUACAGAUCGCCAAGAUCACUUCGUCAGUUACACUAAUUUCUGUUAUCAAGGGGGAUCAUAGGGGCAUGUGUUUCUUGUCAUCAAUUGUUGCCCUCUUUCUUUGCAGAGUCAAGGGUUUCACAAGCAACUAAAUCUUAAGAUCUUUCCUCGCCUUUUCCAGUUUUUGGUAGUGAAAUUUUGGCGGUAGGUGUUGACAUACUUCCUGAUAUCAUCUUCCAUGAAAAGGUUGAAAAGCUUUCUCAUCUUUGAUGCAUAUUCUUAUGAAAAAGCAUCGCAACUCUUAAGGCUCUUCUGCAGCUUACACUUAAGGAUGAAGUUCCAUUUUUUAAACUUGUGUUUGACAAUGAUAGUGGUAUUCUUGUUGUAGCUGUGAAGAAGUUAGCUUCUUUUUUUCUUUUUGUUAAUUGAUAAGAUUCCCAUCAAGCAUGAUUUUACCCUCCUACACAAGAUAUUUAGCCUUUUGUAGAACCUGGAAGAAAGAGUAAGUUGAAGACUCUUACCUAGAUGAGGGAAAUAAAGAUCUAUGAUUGA
This is a non-coding RNA of Nicotiana tabacum (common tobacco), 2773 nucleotides long. The record is from RefSeq and is a predicted model, not a curated record. Lineage: Eukaryota; Viridiplantae; Streptophyta; Magnoliopsida; Solanales; Solanaceae.